Long non-coding RNA from Carassius carassius (crucian carp), 873 nucleotides. RefSeq lists it as uncharacterized. The record is from RefSeq and is a predicted model, not a curated record. Lineage: Eukaryota; Metazoa; Chordata; Actinopteri; Cypriniformes; Cyprinidae. The transcript is spliced from 5 exons.
UCUCGCGAGAUUUUAAUUGUGUUUCCUCUGUUUCAAGCAAGGCAUUCGAUUGGCUGGUAGGUGCUGAUGUCGCGCUGCAAGAACAACAUGGCACGGGUUCAAAGCCUUAUUCAACUGAGAAAAUUGAUCAGCGUCAUGGUACAAGCGAAGUCUGAAUGGUUUGUUUCCUUGUUUCUUCUGCCUUGGCUGCACAGCUGUGGAAACCUGACCUGGUGAGGACCCUCUCCUCCAUCCUCAACUAUUGAACCUCUUAUAUCACUCGGAUGAGGUACUAAAUUAAAGAUUGUGUUCUUGUGUAAAUCCUAGUUACCACGGGAUGAAGAUCCCAGCAGAAACAGAGAAACAAAUAGAGACAUCAUGUUCCAACACAGACAGACCAGCCUGUGAUCUCCUAAGACACCCAGAUUCAGCCCUGGUCACGAUCUGUCCCACACCUGUGUCUCAUCACAGUCCAUCACCAGUGUCUGCACCCUGCCUACUGCCAAUAUUAUGGAUUUCUGUUCUGGAGAGAGAUGCCAUUCACAACAUAAUCUCUACACAAUAUCAAACUAAAAUAAUUUAAUCUUGCCUAACAGUUUCCCUGAUUUGUUACAGUUCACAAUACUUGAAGCAGUGCUGUGCAGACCGAUGGAAGUAUGACAUCACGGUACCAUGAGAGCAAUAAGACAGCUUCAUAUACUUUUGAAUCGCUCUCACGCUACUUUGUCAUACUUUAAGCGCUGCUGCGCAGACCAAUUGAAGUUGAACAUAUCUGAAGUGUAAACUCUCACGGUCAGUUCUGGGUCUUGUGCAGUAAUAUGAUGAGCAGGUGUUUAGUGUCAUCACCUUACAUUAUUGAAAUGCUAUAUUGACCUGUAUUCAGUUUUAAAACUG